AACUGUUGCAAUAGUUCGGGAUGACUUGUGGCUAGGGGUGAAAGGCCAAUCAAACUCGGAAAUAGCUGGUUCUCCGCGAAAUCUAUUUAGGUAGAGCGUCGACCGAAUACCCCAGGGGGUAGAGCACUGGAUGGGCUAGGGGAUCUCACCGAUUUACCAAACCUAACCAAACUCCGAAUACCUGGGAGUACUAGUCGGCAGACACACGGCGGGUGCUAACGUCCGUCGUGAAAAGGGAAACAACCCUGACCUACAGCUAAGGUCCCCAAGUUAUGGCUAAGUGGGAAAGGAUGUGAGGAUCCCAAAACAACCAGGAUGUUGGCUUAGAAGCAGCCAUCAUUUAAAGAAAGCGUAACAGCUCACUGGUCUAAAUAAGGGUCUUUGCGCCGAAAAUGUACCGGGGCUAAAGCCAUACACCGAAGCUUAGGGUUUGCAGCUUGCUGCAAGCGGUAGCGGAGCGUUCUGUAAGCUGACGAAGCCGUACCUGUGAGGGGCGGUGGAGGUAUCAGAAGUGCGAAUGCUGACAUGAGUAACGUAAGGGGUGUGAGAGACACCCCCGCCGAAAGUCCAAGGGUUCCUGCUUAAAGCUAAUCUGAGCAGGGUUAGCCGGCCCCUAAGUCGAGGCAGAAAUGCGUAGACGAUGGGAACCACGUUAAUAUUCGUGGGCCUGGAGGAAGUGACGGAUCACGUAUGUUGUGGGGUCUUAUUGGAUUGAUCCCUGCAGCGGAGUGGUUCCAGGAAAUAGCUCCUCCUUAUAGACCGUACCCGAAACCGACACUGGUGGACUGGUAGAGUAUACCAAGGCGCUUGAGAGAACUAUGCUGAAGGAACUCGGCAAAUUGCACGCGUAACUUCGGAAGAAGCGUGACCCUUUCCUGCGCAAGCAGGGUGAGGGUGGCACAGACCAGGGGGUAGCGACUGUUUAUCAAAAACACAGGGCUCUGCGAAGUCGCAAGACGACGUAUAGGGUCUGACGCCUGCCCGGUGCUGGAAGGUUAAGAGGAGAGGUGCAAGCUUUGAAUCGAAGCCCCAGUAAACGGCGGCCGUAACUAUAACGGUCCUAAGGUAGCGAAAUUCCUUGUCGGGUAAGUUCCGACCUGCACGAAUGGCGUAACGACUUCCCCGCUGUCUCCAGCAUAGACUCAGUGAAAUUGAAUUCCCCGUGAAGAUGCGGGGUUCCUGCGGUUAGACGGAAAGACCCCGUGCACCUUUACUAUAGCUUUACAUUGGCAUUCGUAGUGGCAUGUGUAGGAUAGGUGGUAGGCUUUGAAGCCAGGGCGCCAGCCUUGGUGGAGCCACCCUUGAAAUACCACCCUUAUCUCUAUGGAUGUCUAACCGCGGCCCGUUAUCCGGGUCCGGGACAAUGUAUGGUGGGUAGUUUGACUGGGGGGGCGGUCGCCUCCUAAAGAGUAACGGAGGCGCGCGAUGGUGGGCUCAGACCGGUCGGAAAUCGGUCGUCGAGUGCAAUGGCAUAAGCCCGCCUGACUGCGAGACUGACAAGUCGAGCAGAGACGAAAGUCGGUCAUAGUGAUCCGGUGGUCCCGUGUGGAAGGGCCAUCGCUCAACGGAUAAAAGGUACGCCGGGGAUAACAGGCUGAUGACCCCCAAGAGUCCAUAUCGACGGGGUUGUUUGGCACCUCGAUGUCGACUCAUCGCAUCCUGGGGCUGGAGCAGGUCCCAAGGGUAUGGCUGUUCGCCAUUUAAAGCGGUACGUGAGUUGGGUUCAGAACGUCGUGAGACAGUUCGGUCCCUAUCUGCCGUGGGUGUAGGAAUAUUGAAAGGAUCUGUCCCUAGUACGAGAGGACCGGGAUGGACGGAUCUCUGGUGGACCUGUUGUGGCGCCAGCCGCAUAGCAGGGUAGCUAUAUCCGGACGGGAUAACCGCUGAAGGCAUCUAAGCGGGAAACCCACCUUAAAACGAGUAUUCCCUGAGAACCGUGGAAGACGACCACGUUGAUAGGCCGGGUGUGGAAGUGCGGCAACGCAUGAAGCUUACCGGUACUAAUAGUUCGAUAGGCUUGAUCGU
Molecule: ribosomal RNA, 2025 nt
Filed under: Aminobacter aminovorans
Lineage: Bacteria; Pseudomonadati; Pseudomonadota; Alphaproteobacteria; Hyphomicrobiales; Phyllobacteriaceae
Description: 23S ribosomal RNA
Rfam family: Bacterial large subunit ribosomal RNA
Source: RNAcentral